This 956-nucleotide long non-coding RNA is filed under the name Setaria viridis. RNAcentral describes it as "long non-coding RNA (SVIR_LNC007011)". The record is from RNAcentral. Lineage: Eukaryota; Viridiplantae; Streptophyta; Magnoliopsida; Poales; Poaceae.
GACGAGAGAGGGACUGGUCCCAAGUCUCUUCCGUGCUUGUGCUCUUAGGGAGAGUAGUGGUGUGCUGUGGCUUGCGGGGGAGAAGAAGCCGAUCCCUCCUCCGGCCCUGGGUUCCUCCUUUUAUAUUGCAAGGGGGGUGGCCGGAGUUACAGCUGGGAUCGGGUGAAGAGGACUGUAAAGUGUAAAUCAUAGAAUGGUAAAGAAUACGGGAGGAAGGAGGAGCAAGUUCCUAGACGCCCGACGCCUCCUCCGGCCCCUGGCGAAUGCCGGCGUGCAUGCCGGAGGGGGAGGCGGCCGUGUGCCAACUAUCGUUGCUUCCUACAAAUAGCUCUUUCGGUACUCGUAGGCAUCGGGUCAUGAUGAAGGUGUUUCGUCGUUAUCCUGGUGUCUGUUGGGGAGGACGGUGGCUGCUACCGUUCAGACGACGGCUCCUGGAGAGAGGGCGUCACAUCCUUGCUGCUGGGCAUGCGGGACCCGAGGGCGCGCGGGGCCCGAGGACAGGCCGGUCUCUCCUCCGCUCCGGCCGGCGCAGGCCAUGAGUACCCUGCGGCGAAUGGGAGCGAGCCGCCAGCACUGUAGCUUGUACACUGUGGUCGUGCACGAGUACUUGCGACGGGUUGCGUGAGGGGCGCGGUCAUUCCUUCCCUCUGCCAGGCCUGCGGCGCAUUUAUGGCGAAGCCGACGGGGGGACCCACAGGAUUUUGUCUGCCUUGCCCACCUGAACCGCAUCCGAGGGGGAUGCCUGCCCCGGGGGCCCCAGCGCGCCCUGUUGGAGGUAUGCCCUAGAGGCAAUCAUAGAGAUGAUGAUAUUCCAUUUGUAUCCAUGAUUUGUAUGUUGUGUUCAUUGAAUAUCCAUUGAAGGCUACUUGAAUUGAUUUGCAAUUAUGUGAAUUGUAUGUGAAACUCUUUACUUGUAUGGUUAUUCUAAAGUUGUCCCUAGUCGGAGUUCAUGUGAG